Molecule: ribosomal RNA, 438 nt
Filed under: uncultured bacterium
Lineage: Bacteria
Description: bacterial SSU rRNA
Rfam family: Bacterial small subunit ribosomal RNA
Source: RNAcentral
CCUACGGGUUGCAGCAGUGGGGAAUAUUGGACAAUGGGCGAAAGCCUGAUCCAGCAAUGCCGCGUGUGUGAAGAAGGUCUUCGGAUUGUAAAGCACUUUCGACGGGGACGAUGAUGACGGUAACCGGAGAAGAAGCCCCAGCUAACUUCGUGCCAGCAGCCGCGGUAAUACGAAGGGGGCUAGCGUUGUUCGGAAUUACUGGGCGUAAAGCGCGCGUAGGCGGUUUAUGCAGUCAGAUGUGAAAUCCCCGGGCUUAACCUGGGAACUGCAUUUGAGACGCAUAGACUAGAGGUCGAGAGAGGGUUGUGGAAUUCCCAGUGUAGAGGUGAAAUUCGUAGAUAUUGGGAAGAACACCGGUGGCGAAGGCGGCAACCUGGCUCGAUACUGACGCUGAGGCGCGAAAGCGUGGGGAGCAAACAGGAUUAGAUACCCCCGUAG